AUGUAAAUGUGCAUUCCUCGAUUUAGCCGCUAGUGUUAUCGAAGAGCGAGAAAGGGACGAAAUAUUUUCAAGGCCGUUUCGCGAGGCGUAUCUGACGAAUAAAGUUGUUUGUCCGAUGGCUGAAUGCCUGGAAAACUUUCGUUUUUUUAAAGAAAGUGGACUUGCGCAUCAUUUCCGCACUGUUCACAACCGACAGAUGGUGCCGCAAGAUAC
Paramuricea clavata is the source of this 213-nucleotide non-coding RNA. NCBI's taxonomy places the organism in Eukaryota, Metazoa, Cnidaria, Anthozoa, Malacalcyonacea, Plexauridae. The record is from the annotation of a GenBank genome assembly.